CCCUCCGAGGGGUGCUGCAGCGGGGCUGGACACAGUCCCCCGUCAGGCUCGGAGUCAGUGGUUCAACGAUGCAACCGCACCCAUUCAUU
Molecule: regulatory RNA element, 89 nt
Organism: Gallionella sp.
Lineage: Bacteria; Pseudomonadati; Pseudomonadota; Betaproteobacteria; Nitrosomonadales; Gallionellaceae
Rfam family: SAH (S-adenosyl-L-homocysteine) riboswitch aptamer
Source: Rfam